GGCAACAUCUGCUAUAUAAUGAGCUAGAGAGGCGGUAAACAGUGACUGGGAAGGUUCUUAGAGGUGGAAGUUUUAUUUGUGUUGCCCAGCGAGUGCGCAGGUAAGUGCGGUGAGGAAAACCAUGGUACAUCCAUACAGAAUAGCGUUCAGCAAUUAAAAAUGUGCUUUCUCAAAAUUAUUCAGCAUAAAGGAAACCACAAUUUAAAAAAGUAAAACAUCUGAGUCUAAUCAUGUAAAAAGUACAAAAUAAUUUACUGUGAGUGUAGAAGUUUAAAAAGGACACACAAAAAAGGAGUUAUAUAGAUUUAUUACCACCCAUGGUUUUGUAUACAUUUUAAAUAUGUGCAGUUUUACAGCAUGUUAAUUAUACCUCAAUAAAGCUUUCCUUAAAAAUCAAAUAGAGGUCUGGGUCCCCUACUUUUUUGCACAAGAGUCCACCAUCCAUCCUUAUGCCUGGGAAAAGGAUGCCCUGCAUCAAAGAGUUUCAAGGUCAUUUCUAUCUGGCUCAGCAACUGGUCAGAAUAGCUACAGACUUAACCACCAGUGGAAUUUUCUAUCCUGUUGCCAUUUUCUCGCCUAUGCAGCAAAUAUCUGUGAGAUGGACUAGAAGUUAAGAUAGACACAGGGCCUCAAUUUCCACAACGACAGGAGGAACAGUGGGGUGGAGUGUAUUAACUGGAACAUCAGUGGAUGCAAGUUUUGUUAGAUGUUUAUGUAUCCUAAGUCCUGCCAUUUUCUUUGUUUCUGUACAAUCAUGGGUUUUCAACCUGGUCCCUAUAGUAGUCUUACAACUAGCCAAUGACACCAGCAAUGAGCUUUACAUGAAGGCACAUGAUUCCUUUGCAGUGCUUGGGAGCAGCUUCCCCACAACAGUGCUCGACAUUGUGUGACAGCCCUGGGAAAGAGGAACCACUCUCACGGGGGCCCUCCAGUGGUCAGAAGAGCAACACCGUGUCCUCCUGGUGCACUGCAAGGAGGUCUAGAAGGGGUUCUCCGCCCCAGAAGCACAUCAGAAGCUGCUGUCCUGUAUGAGGCCAGGCCCUUUGUUCUCCUGCGUGACUUCUCUGGUCCAUUCUGUCCCGACCUGAAGACCUCACCCAAGAGCUCUGUAAUAAAGGGUGCUCUGAUCUUUUUUCUCGGUCUGUUUGGUGACUUUCUCACUCCGCCGAUUUUAACCUUACACAUGACGGGUCUCAACUGGAGUCAGCAGGGCUGCCUUCCUUUCUGGAGGCAGUAGGAAAAUAGCUUAUUCUUUCCUUUUCAAGAUUCAGAGGCCACCCACAGCCAUGGGCUCAUGGCCUCUGCCAUCUCUAGCCAGAAAUGGCCAGGUGAGGCUUUCUCACCCUGCCUCACCUGCACGUUUCCCAUUUUCUAUGUAUCAUUCCCCCACUGCCAUCAGAACCCUUACGAUCACACUGGGCAGGUUCAGGUAAUCCAGCAAAAUCUCCCCAUUUCUAGGUCAGUGGAUUAUUACUAUUGAUUCUACCUACUACCUUCACUCUCCUUUGCCCUGUAACCUACCAUGAAGACAUGGACACUUAAGGGACACCGGGUUGUGCUGUCAGUUAAGCAUCUAACCCUUACUUUCUGCUCAGCUCAUGAUCUCAUGGGUUGUGAGAUCGAGCCCUGAGUCAGGCUCCACGUGCUGACAGCAUGGAGCCUGCUUGGGAUUCUCUCUCCCCUUCUCUAUUCCCUUCCCCCACUUCUGCUCCCUCUCUCUCAAAAUAGUAAACAAAGACAAGGACAUUUAAGUGGGGGCAUUAUUCUGCUUAUCCCAGUGGCUUAUCAACGACUCAACUCCCAAAAUCCAGCAUAAACCCUCCCUCUCCUUAGGAACAACAUGGGUUAUAGGGUUUUAGAAGCACCUGGUGCUGGAUCCCCCUCAGGUGCUAACAGGAUGACAGAGACUCCAACAACUCCAUCUUUCUGCGGGGUGAUGUCUGCUUUACCCUCAACUGCACGUUGAGGCCACUGGGCGGAGGAAGAGAAAGAAGAAACCAACCCAGCGUCCUCUCUUCAGGACUCUAUGCUGACAGCUACGAUUUCUUCUCCUUACUGCUUUCAUUCCAACCAUUCUCCUCAGAUACAUUCUUUAUUUUGCUGCAAGAAAAGUAUUUCUUAGGUAUCUGUAUUUCCGUGGCUUUACCGGGCCAUACUAACUGGACGCGUGUAAAUCGUACCCUGUGGUGCGUUUCCACAUAGACCUGUUUCGCUGAACCAGCCCCACAAUCAAGACAGGAAACAUAGUCAUCACCAUCCCAAGUUUUCUCACAACCCUUUCCACCA
This 2286-nucleotide long non-coding RNA is filed under the name Suricata suricatta (meerkat). RNAcentral's name for it is "lncRNA (ENSSSUG00005014076.1)". The record is from RNAcentral. Lineage: Eukaryota; Metazoa; Chordata; Mammalia; Carnivora; Herpestidae.